AUGACCCCAGGCCAUGUGAGAUCUUGUUGGGAGCACAAGAAGCACUCUUCCUGCUCUUUGUCACCCUUCCAUUAUAAGUCCCAUGUGGGUUUUCACUGUAUUCCAUAUCAGGGCUGUGGAACCCUUGACAUAAUCCUACCCUACCUUCCAGGCAGGCCUAAAAGUGAGUGUGUGUGGUGGUGGCAAUGUGCCUGUGUAUGUGUGCUGAUGUGUGUGUGUGGGGGUGUGUGGUGGUAUGUGUGUGGCGGUGGUGUGCUUGUGUGGUGGUAUGUGUGUGUGUGGCGGUGGUUUGUGUGGUGGUGUGUUUGUAUGGAGGGGUGUGUGGUGGUGUGUUUGUGUGGUGGUGUAUGUGGUGCUGUGUGUGUGUGGUGGUAUGUGUGUGGUGGUGUGUGUAUAUGUGUGGUGGUACGUGUGUGUGAUGGUGUGUGUGUAUGUGUGGUGGUAUGUGUGUGGUGGUGUGUGUGUAUGUAUGUGAGGUAUGUGUGUGUGGUGGUAUAUAUGUGUGUGGUGUAUGUAUGUGUGGUGGUGUGUGUAUGUGUGUGUGGUGGUGUGUGUGUGGUGGUAUGUGUGUGUGGUGCUGUGUGUGUGGUGGUGUGUGUAUAUGUGUGGUGGUAUGUGUGUGUGUGGUGGUGUGUGUGUAUGUGUGGUGGUAUGUGUGUGGUGGUGUGUGUGUGGUGGUGUGUGUGUAUGUAUGUGAGGUGGUAUGUGUGUGUGGUGGUAUAUGUGUGUGUGGUGUAUGUAUGUGUGGUGGUGUGUGUAUGUGUGUGUGGUGGUGGGUGUGUGUGUGGUGGUGUGUGUGCAUGUGUGGUGGUGUGUGUGUGUGGUGGUGUGUGUGAGAGAGAGAGUGAGAGAGAGAGAGAGAGAAAGGAUGCCCUAGGGCUUCCUCUCCCUGCAUACACUGGAAAAAGAGAAAAGGAUUUCAUAUCUGCAGUCUUUUUGUUUUGUUUUGGGACAGAAUCUGCCUCUGUUGCCCAGGCUGGAGUGCAAUGGCACAAACACAGCUCACUGCAGCCUCGACCUCACCGGCUCAAAUGA
This 1035-nucleotide long non-coding RNA is filed under the name Callithrix jacchus (white-tufted-ear marmoset). RNAcentral describes it as "lncRNA (ENSCJAG00000075332.1)". Lineage: Eukaryota; Metazoa; Chordata; Mammalia; Primates; Cebidae. The record is from RNAcentral.